GAAAAUCAAUUAGAAAUUGAGGAAAUAGUCUUACUUCUUAUAAGCUAUUACUCAAUUUCUCAAUUUUCCAAUAUCAACUUUUUACGUUCACAUUCACACAUCUAAUAACCCCAAAAAUUUCCUCACCACCUAAACACAGUCCAUUCGAAAUUAGAAAGGAACAGAACCCCGCAAACCCUUAAUUCCCAAAUUAGUUUCACACUUCCGCUCAAAACUCAAACCCUAAGCCCCAACCCCCACCACCACUCCUCCUGCCGCCGCAGCAGCCCUUGUGUUGCCGGCGCUGCCCAUAAUUUAAAAUACUUUGGUCCCUGUGUUGAUGUGGUUCAUUUUUUACAAUGGCUCACGAUAUGUAACAGAGUUUUGCAAGAGGUAACAUUCUAACCUUUGUUUUCUUGUUGGAUAUCAUGAGUUGUAGCAUCUUAUCAUUAUGUUAUAGUGGAACUUUGUAAUAUGUACUUUGCUACUAUGUAGUCGGAUGUACCGGUAUUUGGCUGCCAAUUGAAUGAGUUUUACAACUCUUAGUUCAGCAGCAUCCCUUCCGUUGGGAAAAUAGAUCAGUUGUGGCAUUAAUGUUCUUAAGUAUAGUUCAGAUGUUGAUUUAUGUUUGCGUACCGCCUCUCCAAUCCACUUACCUAUUUCGUCAUAACUGAAAUGCCUUCUUCAUUGCACCCACUGUACCCUCGUUCAUAAUGUGUGGUUUCCUAAGUGCUUGAAGAAGUUGCUUAGCUGUGUUUCAUAAUGUGAGCUUUCAUGUGUUACAAAUUGAAAGCACCAUAACCACAACAUACAAACAUUUUGAAGGGUUUACAUUAGCUGUCUAUUAACAGUGGUGAUCAUGACAUGGAUAUUCCAUAUGUGGGUACUAUGUCUUGGAUAGAAUCUAUGAACUUGACUGUUUCAUUGGAAGCCAUGGUUCGUCGACAGACAGAUUGCAGGGUUGAUAUCUAUCUCAUCUUCUUUCUUUCUAUUUUUUUCAUGUCCUUAAUCUUUCUUCUGUUUAAGUUGAGUUUGGUCACAAAAUCAGAUUGCAACUAUCUCAUAGUUAUGCCUUUUUCCCCCCUUUAGAUGUAGAGUGCGGUAAUUCAAAGUACUGAUAGAUGUUAAGAUGUUCUUUGUCCAUAUAAAGGUCAUUAUUUGAUGUUGGAUUGGUAAAGCCUAUCUUCUGUGUAUGUUUGUGUGAGAAGUUCUGAAAAUACCACUCGAAAUAAAUAUGAAGUUAUUAGGUUUGUUAACAA
Long non-coding RNA from Prunus persica (peach), 1238 nucleotides. RefSeq lists it as uncharacterized. NCBI's taxonomy places the organism in Eukaryota, Viridiplantae, Streptophyta, Magnoliopsida, Rosales, Rosaceae. The transcript is spliced from 2 exons. The record is from RefSeq and is a predicted model, not a curated record.